CCUGGGAACUGCGUUNUGAACUGGGUGACUAGAGUGUGUCAGAGGGAGGUAGAAUUCCACGUGUAGCAGUGAAAUGCGUAGAGAUGUGGAGGAAUACCGAUGGCGAAGGCAGCCUCCUGGGAUAACACUGACGUUCAUGCCCGAAAGCGUGGGUAGCAAACAGGAUUAGAUACCCUGGUAGUCCACGCCCUAAACGAUGUCGAUUAGCUGUUGGGCAGCAUGACUGCUUAGUAGCGAAGCUAACGCGUGAAAUCGACCGCCUGGGGAGUACGGUCGCAAGAUUAAAACUCAAAGGAAUUGACGGGGACCCGCACAAGCGGUGGAUGAUGUGGAUUAAUUCGAUGCAACGCGAAGAACCUUACCUGGUCUUGACAUGUACGGAACCCUCCAGAGACGGAGGGGUGCCUUCGGGAGCCGUAACACAGGUGCUGCAUGGCUGUCGUCAGCUCGUGUCGUGAGAUGUUGGGUUAAGUCCCGCAACGAGCGCAACCCUUGUCAUUAGUUGCCAUCAUUAAGUUGGGCACUCUAAUGAGACUGCCGGUGACAAGCCGGAGGAAGGUGGGGAUGACGUCAAGUCCUCAUGGCCCUUAUGACCAGGGCUUCACACGUCAUACAAUGGUCGGUACAGAGGGUAGCCAAGCCGCGAGGUGGAGCCAAUCUCACAAAACCGAUCGUAGUCCGGAUUGCACUCUGCAACUCGAGUGCAUGAAGUCGGAAUCGCUAGUAAUCGCAGGUCAGCAUACUGCGGUGAAUACGUUCCCGGGUCUUGUACACACCGCCCGUCACACCAUGGGAGUGGGGGAUACCAGAAGUAGG
This 816-nucleotide ribosomal RNA is filed under the name uncultured bacterium. RNAcentral describes it as "bacterial SSU rRNA". It matches the Rfam family "Bacterial small subunit ribosomal RNA", at positions 613 to 1430 of the family's 1533-position model. The record is from RNAcentral.